Elaeis guineensis (African oil palm) is the source of this 1167-nucleotide non-coding RNA. Lineage: Eukaryota; Viridiplantae; Streptophyta; Magnoliopsida; Arecales; Arecaceae. The record is from RefSeq and is a predicted model, not a curated record.
CUAACUCAGUCCUGCUCACUCUCACUCUAUUCCCUUCCCUUUAAUUCAUCCCCAACAAGUGACUAAGGAAAAUCCUUAUGCCCUAGCUACUGCUCCGAUCGUCGUUCACUCCAAAGUGAUACAGGAGGAUUUCAAGGCCACUGAGAUUGAGGUUUCAGAUGCUUCUUGUGCUCAUGGGAAUACACAAUGGAUUCAUGGACAAUGCAACACUACUCUUUUUCCUUUCAUAUCUUAACCUCCAAGUCAAGGUAAUGCAUUGUAUUUUAUAAAUAAUACUAUAAAAUGCUUUAUGGUGGCUGGUUUAAGAAUUUGCUUUGUGAUGACUAUAUUAGUUUGGCAACUUGCUAUGAGAUAGUUGAUUUUAGAGUUUGCUUUAUUAUGGCUGCCUUGAGAACUUAGUUUAUGUUGACUGGUUUAAGAACUUGGGAUAUGAUGGCUAGUUUGGUUUGGAUUAUGAUGGCUAGUUUGGUUUGAUAAUGUCUUUUACGAUGGUUGAUUUUAAAACUUAGAUUAUGGUUAGUUUGACAAAUUAUUGAUUAAUGGAUAUAGAUAGUUUGCUGCUUCUUGAUUGAUUAGUGUCAUUUAGAUAUUUUUUUACAUAUUUUUUUUAUCACUUCCUCCAUCUACCUUCUUUUAUUGUUUAUUUUCAGGCAUGGGAGAAUAAUUAUAAAGAAACCAAAGAUUGUACGUUCUUCUAUUAUUUUGAAUAUAAAAGUCGAAGGCCUAAAAUUAGUAUCUAUUCUCCAAUCUUUUAAAUGGAAGACUUCAUUUUAAUAUUUGAUUACUCAAGUUUGGUAUGAUAUACUUUAUUGAUGAUUACAUGUAGUCAAUAAAUCUAUUUAUCUUGGUAUUAACUUAUUUUUCUUUGUUAUUUCAUUUAGGUCGUACUUUUUAAAUGAAGAAAAUAUCAAAAUAAUCGAAAUGCCGGACAAUUGAGGAAGUUUCAAGUUUGAAUAAUAAGAGAUCCUUGUUCUUUUCUUUGUUGGAAUUAAGAUUUAGAUAAUCUUAUAUUGUUAGAUGUUAGGAUGAAUAAUAUCUUUCAUUGUUAAAUAUUAUAGAUGAACAAUAUGUAAUCUUUUAUUUUUUUAUUUUAUUUUUAAUAUUAUGUAACUGACUUAUGAACCAAUGCUUGGAUCAUUUUAAAUGAAUGAAAGUAGUUAUGCUUUA